UCUUCCUACAGUAAACGACAGAAUUUUAGGUCCAUAAAAGUUGUCUUGAUCUAUUCAACAAAAUGUCAUUCCGUUUUUUGAAAUUUGUGAAAGCUGUUAGACUUCGAAAUUCCAAGUUUACAGAUUUUGAAAUAGCGAAGGCGGCGGCAGAAGCUUGGCGUGGCAUGUCUGGUGCAGAAAAGAAGUUUUGCGAUGCAAUGAGCGUAUACGAUAUUCCUAUGUCUAUGGUCAGGAUUUGUGAGAAAUGCUGCAAGGUGAAGAGAGAUAUGAAAGAUCUCACAAAAUGUAUGGAAAUGAUUUUUAAACGGAAGAAGCGUUCCGCAGUAAAAAAACGCAGGAGAAGAAAAUAAACCCUAAAACAGACUGGAUCAGAUAAACAUUAAACAGUAUUUGUGGCUUAUAACAACUCAUGUAUCCAGUCUUUGCUAUUUGCCAGUCUCAGCCACAUAUAAUAUAUAUAAUAUUUAGACGCAUAUACACAUAUAUAUAUACACAUAUACACACAUAAGAAAACUCACUAAAUGUUAUGUUUUUAACCAACGCUUGUGUUAUGUUGUAAUCCUCUGGAAAAAUACUAGUUAUCUUAGAUAUAUGAAAAUCGAUCCAUUCUAACUAAAAUCAAGUCCAUAAUGCUGAGUCUAUAAUUUAAAUAUAGUUUGAUGAAAUUAAAAUUUAUAAGUCCCAGAAUAACAAAAAUGUCGUACGAAUAAAGAGGGUAGGAACCAUUCAAAAAUUAAUUUAUCGAAAACAAAUGAUAAUCUAUUUUAAAGCAAAAUUUAUUAAAUUCAAAAAAAUUCUCUUCAAGAUCUUGAAAAUAUUCCAAUCCAUCCACGAAAAACGGAUCCGCGAAAAGAAGAAAGAAAAUCAUAUCAAAACCGUAACAUAUUUAGUUAUAAAAUUUUUAAUG
This is a long non-coding RNA of Teleopsis dalmanni, 907 nucleotides long. RefSeq lists it as uncharacterized. The transcript is spliced from 5 exons. NCBI's taxonomy places the organism in Eukaryota, Metazoa, Arthropoda, Insecta, Diptera, Diopsidae. The record is from RefSeq and is a predicted model, not a curated record.